GCCGCUGUGGCUCAGAGGUAGAGCACACCCUUGGUAAGGGUGGGGUCGAGAGUUCGAUUCUCUCCAGCGGCA
This 72-nucleotide transfer RNA is filed under the name Candidatus Odyssella acanthamoebae. Its description in RNAcentral is "endosymbiont of Acanthamoeba sp. UWC9 tRNA". It matches the Rfam family "tRNA". Rfam says of the family: Transfer RNA (tRNA) molecules are approximately 80 nucleotides in length. Their secondary structure includes four short double-helical elements and three loops (D, anti-codon, and T loops). Further hydrogen bonds mediate the characteristic L-shaped molecular structure. tRNAs have two regions of fundamental functional importance: the anti-codon, which is responsible for specific mRNA codon recognition, and the 3' end, to which the tRNAs corresponding amino acid is attached (by aminoacyl-tRNA synthetases). tRNAs cope with the degeneracy of the genetic code in two manners: having more than one tRNA (with a specific anti-codon) for a particular amino acid; and 'wobble' base-pairing, i.e. permitting non-standard base-pairing at the 3rd anti-codon position. The record is from Rfam by way of RNAcentral. Lineage: Bacteria; Pseudomonadati; Pseudomonadota; Alphaproteobacteria; Holosporales; Candidatus Paracaedibacteraceae.